AUUGAACGCUGGCGGCAUGCCUUACACAUGCAAGUCGAACGGCAGCACGGGUGCUUGCCCCUGGUGGCGAGUGGCGAACGGGUGAGUAAUACAUCGGAACAUGUCCUGUAGUGGGGGAUAGCCCGGCGAAAGCCGGAUUAAUACCGCAUACGAUCCACGGAUGAAAGCGGGGGCCCUUCGGGCCUCGCGCUAUGGGGUUGGCCGAUGGCUGAUUAGCUAGUUGGUGGGGUAAAGGCCUACCAAGGCGACGAUCAGUAGCUGGUCUGAGGGGCCGACCAGCCACACUGGGACUGAGACACGGCCCAGACUCCUACGGGAGGCAGCAGUGGGGAAUUUUGGACAAUGGGCGAAAGCCUGAUCCAGCAAUGCCGCGUGUGUGAAGAAGGCCUUCGGGUUGUAAAGCACUUUUGUCCGGAAAGAAAUCCUUGACUCUAAUACAGUCGGGGGAUGACGGUACCGGAAGAAUAAGCACCGGCUAACUACGUG
RNAcentral lists this ribosomal RNA (486 nucleotides) under uncultured bacterium. Its description in RNAcentral is "partial 16S ribosomal RNA". It matches the Rfam family "Bacterial small subunit ribosomal RNA", at positions 30 to 507 of the family's 1533-position model. The record is from RNAcentral.